This 431-nucleotide ribosomal RNA is filed under the name uncultured Lactobacillus sp. Its description in RNAcentral is "bacterial SSU rRNA". It matches the Rfam family "Bacterial small subunit ribosomal RNA", at positions 28 to 425 of the family's 1533-position model. The record is from RNAcentral. Lineage: Bacteria; Bacillati; Bacillota; Bacilli; Lactobacillales; Lactobacillaceae.
GAUGAACGCUGGCGGUGUGCCUAAUACAUGCAAGUCGAACGCAUUCUGGUUUUAGAUUGACGGUGCUUGCACUAGAUUGAAAACAUUGGAAUGAGUGGCGGACGGGUGAGUAACACGUGGGUAACCUGCCCAAAAGUGGGGGAUAACAUUUGGAAACAAAUGCUAAUACCGCAUAAUAGUCAGAAUCGCAUGAUUCUGAUUUGAAAGAUGGUUUCGGCUAUCACUUUUGGAUGGACCCGCGGCGUAUUAGUUAGUUGGUGAGGUAAAGGCUCACCAAGACGAUGAUACGUAGCCGGCCUGAGAGGGUGGACGGCCACAAGGGGACUGAGAUACGGCCCUUACUCCUACGGGAGGCAGCAGUGGGGAAUAUUGGACAAUGGAGGGAACUCCGAUCCAGCAAUUCUGUGUGUGUGAAGAAGGUUUUAGGACUG